RNAcentral lists this ribosomal RNA (1455 nucleotides) under uncultured organism. RNAcentral describes it as "16S ribosomal RNA". It matches the Rfam family "Bacterial small subunit ribosomal RNA". The record is from RNAcentral.
GCAGGCCUAACACAUGCAAGUCGAGCGGUAGCACAGAGAGCUUGCUCUCGGGUGACGAGCGGCGGACGGGUGAGUAAUGUCUGGGAAACUGCCUGAUGGAGGGGGAUAACUACUGGAAACGGUAGCUAAUACCGCAUAACGUCGCAAGACCAAAGUGGGGGACCUUCGGGCCUCAUGCCAUCAGAUGUGCCCAGAUGGGAUUAGCUAGUAGGUGGGGUAACGGCUCACCUAGGCGACGAUCCCUAGCUGGUCUGAGAGGAUGACCAGCCACACUGGAACUGAGACACGGUCCAGACUCCUACGGGAGGCAGCAGUGGGGAAUAUUGCACAAUGGGCGCAAGCCUGAUGCAGCCAUGCCGCGUGUGUGAAGAAGGCCUUCGGGUUGUAAAGCACUUUCAGCGGGGAGGAAGGCGUUAAGGUUAAUAACCUUGGCGAUUGACGUUACCCGCAGAAGAAGCACCGGCUAACUCUGUGCCAGCAGCCGCGGUAAUACGGAGGGUGCAAGCGUUAAUCGGAAUUACUGGGCGUAAAGCGCACGCAGGCGGUCUGUCAAGUCGGAUGUGAAAUCCCCGGGCUCAACCUGGGAACUGCAUUCGAAACUGGCAGGCUAGAGUCUUGUAGAGGGGGGGUAGAAUUCCAGGUGUAGCGGUGAAAUGCGUAGAGAUCUGGAGGAAUACCGGUGGCGAAGGCGGCCCCCUGGACAAAGACUGACGCUCAGGUGCGAAAGCGUGGGGAGCAAACAGGAUUAGAUACCCUGGUAGUCCACGCCGUAAACGAUGUCGAUUUGGAGGUUGUGCCCUUGAGGCGUGGCUUCCGGAGCUAACGCGUUAAAUCGACCGCCUGGGGAGUACGGCCGCAAGGUUAAAACUCAAAUGAAUUGACGGGGGCCCGCACAAGCGGUGGAGCAUGUGGUUUAAUUCGAUGCAACGCGAAGAACCUUACCUGGUCUUGACAUCCAGAGAAUUUGCUAGAGAUAGCUUAGUGCCUUCGGGAACUCUGAGACAGGUGCUGCAUGGCUGUCGUCAGCUCGUGUUGUGAAAUGUUGGGUUAAGUCCCGCAACGAGCGCAACCCUUAUCCUUUGUUGCCAGCACGUAAUGGUGGGAACUCAAAGGAGACUGCCGGUGAUAAACCGGAGGAAGGUGGGGAUGACGUCAAGUCAUCAUGGCCCUUACGAGUAGGGCUACACACGUGCUACAAUGGCAUAUACAAAGAGAAGCGAACUCGCGAGAGCAAGCGGACCUCAUAAAGUAUGUCGUAGUCCGGAUUGGAGUCUGCAACUCGACUCCAUGAAGUCGGAAUCGCUAGUAAUCGUAGAUCAGAAUGCUACGGUGAAUACGUUCCCGGGCCUUGUACACACCGCCCGUCACACCAUGGGAGUGGGUUGCAAAAGAAGUAGGUAGCCUAACCUUCGGGAGGGCGCUUACCACUUUGUGAUUCAUGACUGGGGUGAAGUC